ACCAAAAUAUUCAGGGCUGUUGAGAAAUGUUAGUGUUCACACCCAAACUACAGAGCCUCGGAUGUAAGAACACCAUAACCACAGGCCUCAGCUUCCCCAUCUCUAAGAUGGGCAGAAGUAUUUUGCCAAAGCAAUGCCUGAAUGUGAUUUCACUUUCACGCGGCCAGGGACGCCAAAGAUUUACUUCAACUUGUUCAUUUUACACAUGACGGCGUCAGCAUCAGCCAGUGCCUGCCUGGGGACAUACCGACGUGACCACGCAACCGAAUGAAAGCUCCUGUGGAGAGGAUGUAAAAGGCGGCGCUGCAGUGCCUGGAGCAGAUGACAGAGCCCAGCAGCCACCUCGCAAGGGCGUUGGUGACUUAAAACAACAGACAUUUAUUCUCUUCCAGUUCUGAAGGCUAGAAGUCCCAAACCGAGGUAUCGGGUGGGUUGGGUCCUGCUGGAGGCUCUGAGGGAGCUUCUGUUCCAUCCCUCUCUCCUAGCUUCCAGUGCUUGUCAGCAAUCCUUGGCGUUCCUGGGCUUGUAGCUGCAUCACUCCAAUCUCUGCUUCUGUCAUCACACGGCCUUCUCCCCGUGUAUCUGUGUCCAAAGUUCCCUCUUCUUACAAGGACACCAGUCCUUGGAUUAGGGCCCACCAUCAUCCAGUAUGACCUCAUCUCGACUGAUUACAUUGGCAAAAACCCUGUUUCAAAUAAGGUCAUGCUCAUAGGUUCUGGGUGUACAUGAGUUUGGGUAGGGACACUAAUCAACCCAUUAAAGGGACUUCCCUGGCGGUCCAGUGGUUAAGACUCCGUGCUUCCACGGUAGGGGGUACGGGUUUGAUCCCUGGUCAGGGGACUAUGAUCCCGCGGGCCGCGUGGCACGGCCACAAAUAAACAAACAUAAAAAAAAUCCAUUACACAUAACUUGUCUGA
Lagenorhynchus albirostris (white-beaked dolphin) is the source of this 917-nucleotide long non-coding RNA. RefSeq lists it as uncharacterized. Lineage: Eukaryota; Metazoa; Chordata; Mammalia; Artiodactyla; Delphinidae. The record is from RefSeq and is a predicted model, not a curated record. The transcript has 3 exons.